This 497-nucleotide ribosomal RNA is filed under the name uncultured bacterium. RNAcentral describes it as "partial 16S ribosomal RNA". It matches the Rfam family "Bacterial small subunit ribosomal RNA", at positions 28 to 507 of the family's 1533-position model. The record is from RNAcentral.
GAUGAACGCUGGCGGCGUGCCUAAUACAUGCAAGUCGAGCGAGCGGACGAGAAGCUUGCUUCUCUGAUGUUAGCGGCGGACGGGUGAGUAACACGUGGAUAACCUACCUAUAAGACUGGGAUAACUUCGGGAAACCGGAGCUAAUACCGGAUGAUAUUUUGAACCGCAUGGUUCAAAAGUGAAAGACGGUCUUGCUGUCACUUAUAGAUGGAUCCGCGCUGCAUUAGCUAGUUGGUAAGGUAACGGCUUACCAAGGCAACGAUGCAUAGCCGACCUGAGAGGGUGAUCGGCCACACUGGAACUGAGACACGGUCCAGACUCCUACGGGAGGCAGCAGUAGGGAAUCUUCCGCAAUGGGCGAAAGCCUGACGGAGCAACGCCGCGUGAGUGAUGAAGGCCUUCGGAUCGUAAAACUCUGUUAUUAGGGAAGAACAUAUGUGUAAGUAACUGUGCACAUCUUGACGGUACCUAAUCAGAAAGCCACGGCUAACUACGUG